RNAcentral lists this transfer RNA (63 nucleotides) under Aphaena discolor nigrotibiata. RNAcentral describes it as "tRNA-Met". The record is from RNAcentral. Lineage: Eukaryota; Metazoa; Arthropoda; Insecta; Hemiptera; Fulgoridae.
AAAAAGAUAAGCUAAUUAAAGCUAAUGGGUUCAUACCCCACAGAUGAAUAAAUUCUCUUUUUA